ACCUACUAGUUUGCAAUGCAAACGAAAAACAAAACAAAUGAAACAAAAAACAAGGGAAAUAUAAUUUUUUUUUUUUUUUUAUAUUCUUAUUCAUGACAACAUAUUCAUAUUCUUAUUUUUCUCUCUCUCUCUCCCCAAUUUCCAAAUGGCGAACCCCUUUCGUUUUUAUGACCAUCAUCUGCUCCAAACUUGUUCCGGCUGGAACAACCGGAUGCGCCCAAGUUUCCCCACCAAAAACUUCCAACGUCAAAACAACACGGGUCAAAAAAAAGGAGAAGGGGAACUCUACUAAGGCUUGACUAUCCUACAUUGAAAAUCCAUUUGAACACGUAACAAGACUCCUCGUUCCUCACAACCGGUUUAUCUCUGUGCCCAGCUGCUUUUUAUUUACCCAUGAGUUCCAAAAAGAGAGGGGAGAAGGAACCGGCGGAUGAAGAAGCCCUUUGGCUUUUGCUUUUUUUUUUUUUCUUAACGUGAGGCAGAACGUAUUCACGCUCUCCAAAAUAACCCUGUAAGGCUAGGGGCCUGGAUAUUUAUAUACAUAUGAAGAAAAAAAAAAAAAAACAAGUUUCCCGGUUAUGUAUUUAUUUUUUUUCCUUGUGACCUCUUUAUAAAACUUUUUCUUUUUCCACCAGAUCAUUUUGCUUCUCUUUUUUUCCCCUUCUUUCCCAAACCUUUAAGGUCCACCACCGAAUUUCUCUGUCCUCUUCUGCUGUGUGUGAAUGUUUCUCUCCCUCAACAACUCGUGGGUUCUCCGCAAUGCUGGAACACAACAAAAAAACUUUGCCCAACCACCAACACACAACAUCGGGACAAAGAGACGAUAGUGCCCGAGGGAGGGAGUCUGUUGGCUACUCAAAAA
Long non-coding RNA from Daphnia magna, 862 nucleotides. RefSeq lists it as uncharacterized. Lineage: Eukaryota; Metazoa; Arthropoda; Branchiopoda; Diplostraca; Daphniidae. The record is from RefSeq and is a predicted model, not a curated record. The transcript is spliced from 2 exons.